GAUGAACGCUGGCGGCGUGCCUAAUACAUGCAAGUCGAGCGAACAGACGAGGAGCUUGCUCCUCUGACGUUAGCGGCGGACGGGUGAGUAACACGUGGAUAACCUACCUAUAAGACUGGGAUAACUUCGGGAAACCGGAGCUAAUACCGGAUAAUAUAUUGAACCGCAUGGUUCAAUAGUGAAAGACGGUUUUGCUGUCACUUAUAGAUGGAUCCGCGCCGCAUUAGCUAGUUGGUAAGGUAACGGCUUACCAAGGCAACGAUGCGUAGCCGACCUGAGAGGGUGAUCGGCCACACUGGAACUGAGACAUGGUCCAGACUCCUACGGGAGGCAGCAGUAGGGAAUCUUCCGCAAUGGGCGAAAGCCUGACGGAGCAACGCCGCGUGAGUGAUGAAGGUCUUCGGAUCGUAAAACUCUGUUAUUAGGGAAGAACAAAUGUGUAAGUAACUAUGCACGUCUUGACGGUACCUAAUCAGAAAGCCACGGCUAACUACGU
Molecule: ribosomal RNA, 496 nt
Filed under: uncultured bacterium
Lineage: Bacteria
Description: partial 16S ribosomal RNA
Rfam family: Bacterial small subunit ribosomal RNA
Source: RNAcentral